This 5062-nucleotide long non-coding RNA is filed under the name Aquilegia coerulea. RNAcentral describes it as "long non-coding RNA (ACOE_LNC002019)". The record is from RNAcentral. Lineage: Eukaryota; Viridiplantae; Streptophyta; Magnoliopsida; Ranunculales; Ranunculaceae.
UGUCACAUCUGUAAUCCCUUAUGAGUCAUAAUGUAAUAUGUGAGGGUAGAGUGGUCAGUAUAUGUAGUGAGCUAUUAGAUGAGGGACACUUGUCAGUAGAUGAGUGAAAGUAGGAUUUGUUAGAGAUAAGAGAUAAAAAACAUGAGUCUGAAUGAAGGGAUAUGAAUUGAGUUGUAAUAGAACCAGAGGCUCAGUUUCGAUUAGAAACUUGAGAGUUAAUCAAUCUUUUCUUCAAAUUAGGUUAUUGUUGAUUAGAUUGUUACAAUUGGUAUCAAAGCCGUACUUUCCUGGUGUUAAUCAUGGUAGCAGAUACUAGAAUGAAAGAUAUAGAAGGAAUAACAAAGGAACACACCAAUCAACUAGCAGAUCUGAAAUCUCAAAUAGAUAGGUUAGUGAAAGAUGCUGAUGAGAGGAAGGUAGCAGUGAAAAAGUUCUCGGAUCAAUUGGAUAAGUUGUUUUCAUUAUUCAAUCCUAGAUCUGAAAAAGGGAAAGAUAAAGUUAGAGAAGACGUUGAAACGAGUUCAAGGCGAGGUGAGCAUAACGUAGAAGAUUCAGAGAGAUUUUUUCUUCAUCAACAACAGGGAUUCAAAAUACUUCAGGUAAUGUUGUUCGACAUUCCAAAUUAGAAUUUCCAAGGUUUGAUGGAACAAAUCCUAGAGCAUGGUCACAAAAAUGCAAAAAACUCUUCUCUAUUCAUGGAACUGAUGAACUGCAAAAAGUAGCUAUUGCCUCUCUUUAUAUGGAGGGAAAGGCUGAUAGUUGGUUUUUAGCUUAUCAAGAGGGAAAAGAUUUCAUACUAUGGAAUGAAUUAGUGGAGGAUUUAUGCCUUCGUUUUGAGGAUUUGAGUCAAGGGAAUUAUGUGGGAAAUUUCAAUAAGUUGGUGCAAACUGAUUCUGUUGAAGAUUAUUUUGAAAAGUUUGAAGAAUUGAAAUCAUAUAUGUUGGCUAAGAAUAAGGCUCUUUCCAGUGAGUAUUUUGUUUUAAGCUUCUUGAGCGGAUUGAAGGAGGAGAUUAAAGGCCUGGUACAAAUGUUUAAACCUGCUACUCUUAAUGAGGCAUUUCAAUAUGCUAGAAUGCAGGAAGAAGUUUUGGAAGUGCAUAACAAAAGCCCCAAACCCAUCACCAAGACCUCAAUAGCCACCACCUCUCAUUUUUCAAAUUCUUUUCCCUCAUCCAAACCAUCCAGUACUUUUCCAUCCAAAACUUCUAAAUCCCUGCAUACCCAGAAAAUUGCGACACCUUUUACUGACACUAUCAAACCAUUUGCCAAAAAUUCUAAAGGACUUUGUUAUAACUGUGAUAAAAAUUUUAAACCCGGGAAUGUAUGCAAAUCACAACAGUUGUUUAUGUUGGUGGUUGAUGAAGACAACAUAGAGAAUUCCGACGACGAUGACAAUGGAAAUGAAGAACAUGAAGUCGACGAGGAAGGUAUAGAGAUUUCUGUCAAUGCUCUAACUGGACAGGUUGGACAAAAUACGAUCAGAGUUCAUGGUUAUAUCAAGAAGCAAAAAUUGACUAUUUUAAUUGAUGGAGGUAGUACGCACAGUUUUAUCAGUCCAGAGAUUUUGAAACAGGUGGGAGAAGUAGGGGUUCCUACAGCAAGGAUGCGAGUUAGGGUUGGGAAUGGCGCAAAAACAAUUAGCCGAGCCAUAUGCAAAAAUUUGAGCUGGGAAAUGCAAGGCCAUUCUUACACACAUAGUGUUAGACUUCUCAAGAUUGUUGGUUCUGACAUGGUUUUAGGAGGAGAUUGGCUCAAAACCUUAGGAGAUAUUGUCAUGAAUUAUAAAAAAUUGACAAUGUCUUUUGAAAAAGAUGGUCAGAAGGUGACUUUGAAGGGAAUUCCUGAAUCUGCUUCUUUGAAAAUGAUGACUGGACAGGCUUUGAAGAAUUUUUUUAAGAAGAACACUCAUGGCUUAAUUGGUGGACUAUUUUCUAUAAUUGCAACUCCUUGUCAGCAGUCUUUUCCUCUACCAAUUGCCUCACUUCUACAAGAUUUGCAAGACGUAUUUCAGGAACCACACUCUUUACCACCUCAAAGACUUUUGGACCAUCACAUACCACUCAAAACUGAUGUUGUGCCUACAAGUCAGAGACCUUACAAGUACCCUUAUAUUCAGAAAACUGUUAUUGAAACGUUGGUUCAAGAGAUGUUAAAUGUUGGUACCAUACAAACAAGCCAUAGCCCUUUUGCUUCUCCUGUGAUCUUAGUGAAGAAAAAAGAUGGGACUUGGAGGUUUUGUGUCGAUUAUAGACAAUUAAAUGCCAUGACUAAUAAAGACAAGUUUCCUAUGCCUAUUAUUGAUGAGCUACUAGAUGAAUUGUAUGGGGCCAAGGUAUUCACCAAAAUAGACUUGAGGUCUGGUUAUCAUCAAAUCCGGGUCAAGGAAGCUGACACUUAUAAAACUGCUUUUAAAACCCAUCAUGGUCAUUAUGAAUUUAGAGUCAUGCCCUUUGGACUUACAAAUGCUCCUGCUACAUUUCAAGCCUAAAUGAAUGAGGUUUUUCAACCUUUUUUGAGGAAGUCGGUUUUAGUAUUUUUUGAUGACAUCCUUGUGUACAGUCCAUCUUUAGAAACACAUGUGGAGCACUUGAAACAGGUCUUACAAUUGUUGCGGCAACACACAUUAUAUGCUAAGCUUUCUAAGUGUUCUUUCGCUCAAUCCCAGCUGGAGUAUUUAGGACAUUUAAUUUCAGGACAAGCAGUGGCAGCUGACCCUGCCAAGGUAGAAGCUAUGACUAUGUGGCCUAAGCCAGCAAACUUGAAAAUUUGAGAGGGUUUUUGGGUCUUACAGGGUACUAUAGAAGAUUUGUUAAGGGGUUGGAACCAUUAGUCAGCCUUUGACUGACAUGCUCAAGAAAAAUAACUUUAAGUGGUCUCCGGCAGCUGACAAAGCUUUUGAAGAACUGAAAUUGGCCAUGUCGACCACUCCGGUUUUGAUUCUGCCCGAUUAUACUCAAUUUUUCGUUGUCGAAACAGAUGCUUGUGCUAGAGGGGUGGGAGCAGUGUUAAUGCAGUCUGGCAGGCCUAUUGUUUUUUCAGCAAGGCUCUAGGUCUCAAGGCAUUGGGUUAUUCCACCUAUGAAAAAGAGCUUUUAGCCAUAGUGAUGGCUGUGACUAAAUGGAGGUCCUACUUGUUGGGUCAUUCUUUUAUUAUAUACUGAUCAACAAAGUAUUAAAUACUUUGUGGAACAAAGACUUACUACUCUUUUGCAGCAAAGGUGGUUGUCGAAACUGUUGGGGUUUGAUUAUAAAAUUGUAUACAAGAAGGGAUCAGACAACAGGGUAGCAGAUGCCCUUUCUAGGGUGGUGGAAGACCAAGGGUCUUGUCACAUGAUGACCAUGGUACAACCUAAGUGGGUCCAAGAGGUAAUGGAUUCCUAUCAACAUCAUACUGUUGUUCAGCAGCUACUCACUCAACUUCUGAUCACUCCUACAGGUGUCACCAAUUAUUCUUAUAUAGAUGGCUUAGUCAGGUACAAAUCCAGGGUGUAUGUGGGCCAACAGGGUGACUUGAGGCAGAAACUGGUUCACUCUAUUCAUUCUUCAAGUAUGGGAGGACACUCUGGUAUACAAGGAAGUUAUCAUAGGGCCCAACAAUAUUUUUUUUGGCCAGGUUUGAAACAAGAUAUUAUCCAUUUGGUCAAAGACUGCGACAUCUGCCAGCGCAAAAAAGGGGAACACACUUCUACUCCUGGGUUAUUGCAGCCUCUUCCCAUUCCUGAACAAGCAUGGCAGCACAUUUCCAUGGACUUCAUUGAAGGCCUACCAAAUUCAGAAGGUAAACAAGUAAUUAUGGUAGUGGUGGACAGGUUGACCAAGUACAGUCAUUUCUUGUCUCUCUCUCAUCCAUUCACUGUUGUUACUGUGGCUAAACUCUUUCUGGACAAUAUCUAUAAAUUGCAUGGUAUGCCAUUAUCAAUUGUAUCUGACAGGGACAAGGUGUUCUUAAGUAAUUUCUGGAAGGAUCUAUUUAAAGUCUUGGGCACCCAGUUGCACUUUUCUACUGCAUAUCACCCUCAGACGGAUGGCCAAACCGAAAGAAUCAAUGCAUGUGUUAAGCAAUAUCUAAGAUGUAUGACUGGUCACAAACCUUCUGCUUGGAACAAAUGGCUGGCUCUUGCGGAGUGGUGGUUCAAUACCAAUUUUCAUUCAGGUCUUAAGAUGUCUCCUUUCAAGGCUUUGUAUGGUUAUUCACCACCCCAUUGGCUUUUCCUACUGAAGAUUGUGCUACAGUGGGACAAGUUGAAGAAUACAUAAAACAUCGCACUGUGCUUUUAGAUAUUGUCAAGGAAGGACUUCACACUGCUCAAGCUCGAAUGAAAUGGUAUGUCGACCAAAAGAGAGCUGAAAGACAAUUUCAGGUGGGUGAUUGGGUUUAUCUUAAGUUGCAGCCCUACAGACAAACGUCAGUGGCUCUUCGGAAAAACUUAAAACUUUCUGCCAAGUUUUAUGGUCCUUUUCAGAUCAUAGCUAAGGUGGGAGAAGUGGCCUACAAGCUUCAAUUACCACAAGGGUCUAAGAUACAUCCUGUUUUUCAUGUAUCUCAAUUAAAGCAGAAAUUGGGACAAGCUGUGAUUCCUAUGCCUCAUCUACCACUUGUCGGUUCAGAGGGUCAACUCAAGGUGGAACUUAUUGCUAUUUUAGACAGAAGAAUGGUCCCUAGGAACAACCGGGCUGUCUCUCAAGUGUUGAUUCACUGGUCUAAUGGUCUGCGUACUGAUGCUACAUGGGAGGAUUGGAGCUAUAUUCACUCACAUUUUCCAGAUUUUAAUCCUUGAGGACAAGGAUUCUUUCAGAGAGGAAUGCAACGUCACAUCUGUAAUCCCUUAUGAGUCAUAAUGUAAUAUAUGAGGGUAGAGUGGUCAGUAUAUGUAGUGAGCUGUUAGAUGAGGGACACUUGUCAGUAGAUGAGUGAAAGUAGGAUUUGUUAGAGAUAAGAGAUAAAAAACAUGAGUCUGAAUGAAGGGAUAUGAAUUGAGUUGUAAUAGAACCAGAGGCUCAGUUUCGAUUAGAAACUUGAGAGUUAAUCAAUCUUUUCUUCAAAUUAGGUUAUUUGUUGAUUA